This is a non-coding RNA of Daphnia pulex (common water flea), 45 nucleotides long. NCBI's taxonomy places the organism in Eukaryota, Metazoa, Arthropoda, Branchiopoda, Diplostraca, Daphniidae. The record is from Rfam.
CAAACGGCCCUUUUCGGGCCACCAAACGUUUAAAGAAAGGAAAAA